Molecule: ribosomal RNA, 510 nt
Filed under: uncultured bacterium
Lineage: Bacteria
Description: bacterial SSU rRNA
Rfam family: Bacterial small subunit ribosomal RNA
Source: RNAcentral
AUUGAACGCUAGCGACAGGCUUAACACAUGCAAGUCGAGGGGCAGCAAGAAUUGUAGCAAUACAAUUUGUUGGCGACCGGCGCACGGGUGAGUAACGCGUAUGCAACCUACCUAUCAGAGGGGGAUAGCCCGGUGAAAGCCGGAUUAAUACCGCAUAAAACAGGGGUCCCGCAUGGGAAUAUUUGUUAAAGAUUAAUUGCUGAUAGAUGGGCAUGCGUCCCAUUAGAUAGUUGGUGAGGUAACGGCGCACCAAGUCAAUGAUGGGUAGGGGUUCUGAGAGGAAGGUCCCCCACACUGGAACUGAGACACGGUCCAGACUCCUACGGGAGGCAGCAGUGAGGAAUAUUGGUCAAUGGUCGGAAGACUGAACCAGCCAAGUCGCGUGAGGGAAGACAGCCCUAUGGGUUUUAAACCUCUUUUGUAAUGGAAGAAUAAGUCUUACGUGUAGGACGAUGCCAGUACAUUACGAAUAAGCAUCGGCUAACUCCGUGCCAGCAGCCGCAGUAACAC